Molecule: unclassified non-coding RNA, 840 nt
Filed under: Hevea brasiliensis (rubber tree)
Lineage: Eukaryota; Viridiplantae; Streptophyta; Magnoliopsida; Malpighiales; Euphorbiaceae
Source: RNAcentral
UUCUUCAUUAUCAACAAAAUGGUAGUCUCCAAUACUUAUCCUUUACUCGUCCAGACAUCACAUUUGUGGUGAAUAGGGUUGCCCAAUUCCUCCAUAACCCGACUAAGACUCAUUGGGUGGCCGUGAAGAGAAUUCUACGUUACUUGCAGGCAACUAGGCACCAUGGCCUUCAUUUAACCAAGUCCACACAUUACCAGCUACAUGUUUAUUCUGAUGCAGAUUGGGCCAGCUGUGUUGAUGACCGCAAAUCCACAUCAGGCUGUGCCAUCUUUUUUGGCAAUAAUCUCAUUUCCUGGCAUUCUCACAAACAAAGAAUAGUUGCUCGUUCCUCGACCGAGGCAAAAUACCGUGCUCUUGGUGCUGCCACAGCUGAAGUUACGUGGAUUACCACUCUCCUGAAAGAAAUAAACUUAAGUCCCAUUCAAGCUCCUGUGUUAUGGUGUGAUAAUUUGGGAGCGACCUAUCUCUCCUCAAACCCCAUUUUUCAUUCACGAACAAAACACAUAAAGGUGGACUUCCACUUUGUGAGAGACAAGGUUGCUAAGAAAGAAAUCACAGUUCGUUUUCAAUCUUUUAAAGACCAAUUGGCGGACAUCCUCACCAAACCUCUACCAAGACAACGUCAUUCAUUUCUCAGCCGACGAUUGACAAUUCGAGACUUGGCAGCCUCGACUUAAGGGGAUGUGAUAGAGUUAAUAAGAUAUUUGUUAUUAUAAAUCUGUUAUAUUUAUCUAAUUUACCAGCUCAUGUAUAUCCUAUGUAAGCUAACAUUAUCUCUGUAACAACCUACUGUAUUUAAGCAAUAAGCAAUCUUUUUAGUAAUGUAAACAUUAGUCCUGC